Molecule: long non-coding RNA, 1570 nt
Organism: Equus caballus (horse)
Lineage: Eukaryota; Metazoa; Chordata; Mammalia; Perissodactyla; Equidae
Source: Ensembl
AGAUUAGCACCUUGAUAAUAAGUUUUCCCAUCCCUUUCCUUUCUACUUCUAAACUAGAGAACUCCCUUCAGAGUUGACUUGCUUUUCAGCCCAGACCUCAAUUGUUUUGUCUCUAACAUCCUCAUCCUAGAAUUUGGAAUAUGUUUUCCAGGGAGAAUGGGAAUUAUUACAUUUUCUUAUACAUUCCACUUUCCUUUUGUUGUAAGCAAGGUUGUCCAAGAAGCAGACUCUGAUGGAGUUUAGUAUUCAGUAUGUUUAUUACGGAAUACCCUUGGAAUCAACACAGGUAGAAGGAAGGGGAAGGAAGCUGGAAUGGGCAGAAGAAGUCAAGCUACAACACAAGCCUGACAGCCUCAGCCAACUAGAGUUCUGGAAGGAGCUCAGAAGCAGGACAGACCCAACAGAGUUUUCUCAUGUUGGGUUAAAAUCGUUGAAACUUUAUUUUCCCACCUUGAUUAGUCGUUGAAUGUAGAGCACCUAUAUAGUCAGAGUUCUCCACAGAAAUAGAACCAACAGGAGGCAGAGAGAGAGAUUGAUUGAUUGAUUUUAAGGAAUUGGCUCAUGCAACUGUGGGGGCCUGGUAAGUCGAAGUCUGCAGGGUAGACUGCAGGAUGGAGACCCAAGAAAGAAUUGCGGUUCAAAUCCAAAGGCUGUUUGCUGGCAGAAUGCUCUCUUCUCCGGAGGUCAGCCUUUUUCUAUCAAGUCAUUCAAAUGAUUGAGUUAGACCUCCCCACCUGAGGGAAGACAAUCUGCUUUGAUACUCAAAGUCUACUUAUUUAAAUGCUAAUCUCGUCUAAAAAAUACCUUCACAGAAACAUCUAGAAUGAAGCUUGACCAAAUAUCUGAUUAUAAUGGUUUAGCCAAGUUGACAUAUACAUUUAACCAUCACACCACCCCAGAAAGGCAUGAUCUUGAGAAGGAUGGCUCUCUGAAGGGGCUGACAGCUGAAUACAGUCUGCUAAUAGCAUUCCCAGCAGCUGGGGCAGUGAAUCCUUCCUUGAAGUGGAAUCUGAGCAGUGUCUUUCUGUGUUCACCAAACCUAUGAGGUUAAUUAAAUGUAUUCAGCAAUUAAAUUUACAUUCCUAGUAGGUGUUACACCAGACAUGAGAGACCAUCCACUGAGGAGCUGGGUGGAUAAGAACUGAAUGAAGCAGAAUGAUCACUUGGGAUGUGCCUCCUCCAUUGCCCCCAUCUACUGGAACUAUUUCCUUUGGAAGAUUCACCCGUCCUCCAGUCUCUCAGCUAAUGAAAUUUGCAUGGGAGUGAUUUCUCUCUCCCUUUGGCCACAUCGAUGGGCUCAGGAAUGGGCAAGUGCCGUAGAAAGAGCCAAUGAAAUAUUUACUGAAGUUUCUUGCAAAGAAAGAGAAAGAAUCAGUGUGGUGAAAGGAAUGUGAUGACCCCUGGGCAGAGAGUCUAUGCAUCUGAUAGCCAUCAUCAGUGACAACUGAAAGAUCAGGCUGUAUGGUGUUGCUCCAUUCCCUGAUGCGAUGCCUAUCCAGUAAAACAAAGGACUAACAGGAACUGGGAUCAGAUGUCUUCCCCACCUAGAGACCAACCACCUCCCCCACCU